AAGACCCGAGUAAAACAUUACAUAGCCCUGUCAGCGCUAAAUUAUGGGCUAAGACCCGUGGGUCUUA
Molecule: transfer RNA, 67 nt
Filed under: Uroplatus ebenaui
Lineage: Eukaryota; Metazoa; Chordata; Lepidosauria; Squamata; Gekkonidae
Description: tRNA-Asp
Source: RNAcentral